Molecule: long non-coding RNA, 478 nt
Filed under: Nicotiana benthamiana
Lineage: Eukaryota; Viridiplantae; Streptophyta; Magnoliopsida; Solanales; Solanaceae
Description: long non-coding RNA (NBEN_LNC012734)
Source: RNAcentral
AUAAAGUUGGGCUGCUUAAAAUUUUGAGUUAAAGGCGCGUAAGAGAUUGUCAAACUCUUUCUCAACUGCUCGAAUAUAUAAGAAGCCUGAUUGGUGUUUCCUACAUUUAUGGGAGGAUUUAUUGAGACAAUGGGCAACUGAAAAAUUUCAAAAGAAAGUGAACAAAGAAAGAAAUCGCGGCAUCUGAGAAGGGUGGCUUCCUUAAACAGUAGGGGUGGUGUCAGCACGAAUCGAUUAGGAGACGCUUGGUAAUUUCGUAAAGCCUUGCAAUAAUUUUUUGUAAUUAUAUUUAAUUUAAUUAAAUUUAUAUAAAAUAUUUUAUUUCAUUUGAAGGAAAAAAUAUGGGAGCAAAAUAAAUCACAAGAAGUUAUUUCUGAAGACCCACAUUCGCAAGAAGAAGAACGCCUCAGAUCCAGAUAAGUGAUAUAUUGCCCGCAUUACUCAAUGAAUUCAUUGCCCACAUUGCUCAAUGAAUUCA